GGGGGGUUGGGGGGGACCGAACCGCACAGCACCGCAAACUGCUGCUGUUCAGAGACUCACCGCAUCAAAACUGUGUCGAAGCACUAAAAUGGAAACCAGAUGACCAGAGGAGACCCUUGGAGAACAUUAAAAAAAAAGUGACGGUUGAUUUUGAUUCCUCAGCCCUGGAAGUGUGAGAUAGACGUGCUACCCACAGAGCCAGCCGUGAGAGAAAAUGCCAUUGCAUAACAGAUGUGACCUUAGAUGAGAUAAAUAUACUUGCAUCCGUACUUAUCCAUGGAAGAGCAUACAUCCAUCCUUUUCAUUUCAUACUUUGUUUUGUCCAGAUUCUGCAUCAGCCUCAUUACUGUCACCUGCCUUUAGUCAUGGACAUCAGCACAGCAGGACUCUGGGAGAUUCAAGAGAUUUUAUAUAUAUAUGUGGGAAUUAUUCAUUUACGAUUGGGAUUUGGGAGUUUAUUGAAUGUAAUGUGUGCCUGUGCUUGUCCCACGUGUACACAUGGAACUGAUUCCUGUUCAAGCUUUCGUUUUCCGGAUUAAUAAUUUCCUCCUACAGUGCAAGACUGUAGCCGUUUGUGUGUGUGUCAGCUGACCAUCCACGUUCCUGCGUCUUACUUGGGUAAUGUUACCCCAAGGGGCUUUUGUCCUUUAAUACUGAAUGCUCACUUCCAUUUAUCACUGACCCGUGUGAAAUUGCAUGCUUUUGAUAAAGCUGAGUUUGGGGGAGGGACUUUUAAUUGUUAAUCCCCGAUUGAGUGAAUAUAAUGUAAGAAAUGUGAAAACUACACAAGUAAAACUACUACUAAUUUA
Molecule: long non-coding RNA, 809 nt
Organism: Paramormyrops kingsleyae
Lineage: Eukaryota; Metazoa; Chordata; Actinopteri; Osteoglossiformes; Mormyridae
Source: RefSeq, a predicted model, not a curated record